UGGAACUCUACUACUUAAAAAUAUUCAAAAGCUGAGAUUGGGGUUGGAGACUACCCUAAAUAACCUCCUUAUUACCUGUGGUGACUCAUGACUUGCCUCUACAGAACCUCUGGACUCCAGUGACAGUAGAUUGAGAAAUCUUGGUCUUGCUGGAAUUUUACAGUUGACAUACAGGAAGUGGAUGUUCCGUGACAGGCGCAGUCUAAGCUGAAAGAGCAGGUGGCCCAACCCUGUUCUGACUGGAUAGCAUUCAGAUUUCUGACCCUACCAGCCUUUAUGUGUGAGAAUAAGUACGGCCCAUGGAGAGCUGGGCAGAAUGCUGCAAAGAGGAGAGUCUGUAGUGAAGAACACUGCUUCCAGAUCUGCUUUUCUUCCCAAGAUAUUAUUUAUCAAAUUGAACUUUUGAAUGUUGAUUGAGAGAUCUUUAUAGGAGACAUAUAAAUAGAGUGGACGUUGAAUAGGACUCAAGAGUGAACAAGACUGCCACGGUCUCCCUUUGUACCAUUUCUUCUUCUGGAGGUUGACUAAGGAUAUCAAAUGGCCAACUUCUCAUUCAGGAUCAAAACCCUUUUUAUUGCCAUGCUGGCACUUUAUCUUUCUUGUGAUACUGUAUCAUCUUUCGCAUCUAGUUUUUUGGCAGAGCCAGACUGUAACAGAUACUCAGAGUCACUGCAUAGCUGUAGGAAGAUGUAUGUUCCAAUCUGUGCAUCCAAUGAUUUCACUUAUGGUAAUGUCUGUGCAUUUUGCAAAGCAAUAAGACACACUAACAAUGGAAUUUCUUUCAAACAUUAUGGCCCAUGCUGACUCCUGUGAUGCGGUGCUGUUCACUCAUAGGACACCUCUUAUAAUCCUAUUAUGCUGUUGAAUUCUACAGAAUCUUCUACAGAAUCUUAGUCUCUAGUGCCUUAAAGUUCUAGAUUAGUACUUGAAUAUUGUUUUGGAAACCUGUAUGGACUAUAAGAACUGGAAAAUUCUUGCAAUUCCAAAAUCCUAUAAUUUCAAAAUUUUAAUUAUCUGUCAAUUUCCAAAUAAUUUAUGAAAAUCUGAAAAAUCAUCAGUUAAUGUUGAAAGCCUGAAAUUGAGAACUUUUCUGAAUCAUUAAGUAUUUUGAUCAAUAAACUUGUUACAUGGCAUUGACUUUAUUAUUUUCCCCUUUCUCCCUUCCUGUUCCUCACACAUCCUUUUGCAAUAUUACCAUAUUAAAGUGAGUUUUUCUGUUUGAUUGCAUAGUGAGGUCACACAAAUACACAACAUAGGCAUUGCUAUUUACAGCAGUUUUCCCAAACUUGCCUUUAGUAUACAUGAUCAUUAUGGAUACCUAAGACCACCUAAUCUAAUCUUGAUCUAAUGACUCAAGAUCUUCAAGAGAAAAGUGUGGUGCCAAAAAUUUCAACAAGUCUUCUAGAUUAGGCAAAAACAAAUGAAAUUAACAUGGAAAGAAAUGCUAAACAGAAGUUGGAAAGAGUUUUACUACAGAUUGUUAGGGUACAGGCUAAGCCAAUAUAAGACACAAAGCAUACACAUUAAGCAAUUUGUAAUUUUGUUUCUUUUUCAUGUAAAAGUUCUAAAGAUGGGUAAACAGUUUAAGCUGGAGGCGAUUUUACAGUGCACGAGUUAGAUCUUCCAUUUUGGGAUACCACUAGAUGGCAAAAGAAGAAAAAAAUGACUUCAAUUCUCCAUUCUUCCCUAUGUUUUUACCCUGUGCAAUGCAACUUUGCAGUACUUUCCAUCGAGAAAAUCUAUCUGCUUUUUACUCCUUGAAUUAUGUUCUGUGGGCAAAAGAAUGGGGGCAGAACUGUGGUGUUGUACCA
This is a non-coding RNA of Oryctolagus cuniculus (rabbit), 1811 nucleotides long. The record is from RefSeq and is a predicted model, not a curated record. Lineage: Eukaryota; Metazoa; Chordata; Mammalia; Lagomorpha; Leporidae.